RNAcentral lists this ribosomal RNA (527 nucleotides) under uncultured bacterium. Its description in RNAcentral is "partial 16S ribosomal RNA". It matches the Rfam family "Bacterial small subunit ribosomal RNA", at positions 355 to 874 of the family's 1533-position model. The record is from RNAcentral.
UGGGGAAUUUUGGACAAUGGGCGAAAGCCUGAUCCAGCAAUGCCGCGUGUGUGAAGAAGGCCUUCGGGUUGUAAAGCACUUUUGUCCGGAAAGAAAUCCUCUGGGUUAAUACCUCGGGGGGAUGACGGUACCGGAAGAAUAAGCACCGGCUAACUACGUGCCAGCAGCCGCGGUAAUACGUAGGGUGCAAGCGUUAAUCGGAAUUACUGGGCGUAAAGCGUGCGCAGGCGGUUUUGUAAGACGGAUGUGAAAUCCCCGGGCUUAACCUGGGAACUGCAUUCGUGACUGCAAGGCUAGAGUAUGGCAGAGGGGGGUAGAAUUCCACGUGUAGCAGUGAAAUGCGUAGAGAUGUGGAGGAAUACCGAUGGCGAAGGCAGCCCCCUGGGCCAAUACUGACGCUCAUGCACGAAAGCGUGGGGAGCAAACAGGAUUAGAUACCCCUGGUAGUCCACGCCCUAAACGAUGUCAACUAGUUGUUGGGGAUUCAUUUCCUUAGUAACGUAGCUAACGCGUGAAGUUGACCGCCU